GGGUUGUGAGGUUAAGCGACUAAGCGUACACGGUGGAUGCCCUGGCAGUCAGAGGCGAUGAAGGACGUGCUAAUCUGCGAUAAGCGUCGGUAAGGUGAUAUGAACCGUUAUAACCGGCGAUUUCCGAAUGGGGAAACCCAGUGUGUUUCGACACACUAUCAUUAACUGAAUCCAUAGGUUAAUGAGGCGAACCGGGGGAACUGAAACAUCUAAGUACCCCGAGGAAAAGAAAUCAACCGAGAUUCCCCCAGUAGCGGCGAGCGAACGGGGAGCAGCCCAGAGCCUGAAUCAGUGUGUGUGUUAGUGGAAGCGUCUGGAAAGGCGCGCGAUACAGGGUGACAGCCCCGUACACAAAAAUGCACAUACUGUGAGCUCGAUGAGUAGGGCGGGACACGUGGUAUCCUGUCUGAAUAUGGGGGGACCAUCCUCCAAGGCUAAAUACUCCUGACUGACCGAUAGUGAACCAGUACCGUGAGGGAAAGGCGAAAAGAACCCCGGCGAGGGGAGUGAAAAAGAACCUGAAACCGUGUACGUACAAGCAGUGGGAGCCUCUUAAUGGGGUGACUGCGUACCUUUUGUAUAAUGGGUCAGCGACUUAUAUUCUGUAGCAAGGUUAACCGAAUAGGGGAGCCGAAGGGAAACCGAGUCUUAACUGGGCGUUAAGUUGCAGGGUAUAGACCCGAAACCCGGUGAUCUAGCCAUGGGCAGGUUGAAGGUUGGGUAACACUAACUGGAGGACCGAACCGACUAAUGUUGAAAAAUUAGCGGAUGACUUGUGGCUGGGGGUGAAAGGCCAAUCAAACCGGGAGAUAGCUGGUUCUCCCCGAAAGCUAUUUAGGUAGCGCCUCGUGAAUUCAUCUCCGGGGGUAGAGCACUGUUUCGGCAAGGGGGUCAUCCCGACUUACCAACCCGAUGCAAACUGCGAAUACCGGAGAAUGUUAUCACGGGAGACACACGGCGGGUGCUAACGUCCGUCGUGAAGAGGGAAACAACCCAGACCGCCAGCUAAGGUCCCAAAGUCAUGGUUAAGUGGGAAACGAUGUGGGAAGGCCCAGACAGCCAGGAUGUUGGCUUAGAAGCAGCCAUCAUUUAAAGAAAGCGUAAUAGCUCACUGGUCGAGUCGGCCUGCGCGGAAGAUGUAACGGGGCUAAACCAUG
RNAcentral lists this ribosomal RNA (1157 nucleotides) under Escherichia coli. RNAcentral's name for it is "partial 23S ribosomal RNA". It matches the Rfam family "Bacterial large subunit ribosomal RNA", at positions 1 to 1191 of the family's 2925-position model. The record is from RNAcentral. Lineage: Bacteria; Pseudomonadati; Pseudomonadota; Gammaproteobacteria; Enterobacterales; Enterobacteriaceae.